GCGGUUUCCAGACGAGUUAUGAAAUUAGUUUUUUUAUUUGUGUCCGAAAACCUCUUCCGACAUCCGAUCAAACGUCCGAUGUGACACCCAAAAAAUUUUUUUUCGCCAACUAAACAAGGCCUAAGUUGCUUAAGAAUAUCAUACGAAUCCAUUUUUCAAAUCAAUAAUAAUUAAAACUCAAUUAAUCAUGGGCUAAUGUCCUUUUUUUAUAUAUUUUUUUUGCCCUAACUUCGAUCAAUCAAUCUUCAGUAGAAACCAGCACACCUUAACAAGAGUUUCUUUUUAGCCGUUGUUCAAUUUCCCUAUAAUUUCUGCAAAAUUCAUCAAAUCCAAAGAGACCUCAAAUUUUAAGGACGGCGGCGUUUGAUUCCCCCACCCUUCACCGUCGCUUACCACUCUCCUCUAGCCGCCGGCGCCUCCGCCGCGGCCGUGGCCGCCGUCGGUCACUUCCAUUGGCGACCACCCCUCGCGCAUGGUUUCUUCCGCCUCUACCGCCGCUCUCCUCCCCCUCCCCCGAACACUCUGACGACGCCCAAAGCGCCACCCGACUCACCUCCUCCGCUGCGGCGGCAGGUGGAGCGAGACUACGACGUGGACGGCACCGACGGCGGUGGUCCGGCGCGACGCGCGACGUGCUCCUCCCACAGCAUGCUCCUCGAUGAGCUCGCGUGCGCGGGCGGGGGAUGCGCACGAGGCGUUCGACGAAAUGCUCGCGUCGGACAACUUCAUGGUCAUGGUCAAGCUGCACGUACGGGUGGAUGUUGCAGUUCGACCUCGCCUCGCCUCGCCUGCAAGCUCAUCCUGGAGAUCGGGGGGGGGGGGGGGAGCACGGGUUGGAGGCCGGCAUUGCCAUGAACUCAAUGCUCAUCACGGGGUUUGCCGGCUGUGGCGCAUGCAGUGAAGGUCGCCGAGGCAUGGGGCAUCCUCAGACUGAAUGCUGAAUAAGUGAUGUACACUUGCACGUCCAGUGUUAAAUGCAUAUUGCCGCCAUGGCCGUGACGGAUCGGGCUAGUUGUCCUCCCAAUGUUAUCACCUACAACUCUGUUCAGAGCAGGUUUCAACAGUAGUAGAACCAGCGGUUGGAAGCACAGUAUGCUCGCCUACAAUACAUAUACCUUAAUGGCCUCUGCAAGAAAGGUAGUGCAAAGGAAGUACUUGAUCAGUUGGAUGUUAUGCUAAGUGAAAGGAUUGGAUCCCUCGGCUUUUACAUCGAGUGUUCUUCCGAAUUGCCUUCUCCAUGACUGAGGGUUUCAUAUGCCUUGUGCUUGUUAGCGAGGGUCUGCAACUCUGCAUACAACACUCUGAUGAGCGGGCUGUUAGAUAUGGGCAAAUGGCUGUUCUGAAGCUCUUGACCAAGUACAUGAUCGACAAAAGUAUCGUCCAAUCGCAAAGACAUUCAACAUUUUUAUUCAUAGUCUUUGGCUCUUUGCAUUAGGGAGAAAGUCUUCCAUAACCAAGAGCCUGGUCCAUGGUCAAGGUUUUACUAAUGUUGUGGCAUACAUUAUCCUCAUUGAUUGGCUUUGCUGCCUUAGAAAACUUAAUGAGUUGAAGUACCUAAUUUCGUGCACGACAGCGCAGGAUAUUGCUCCAGAAUCCAGAUGAAGUCACUCAGAUACAUUAUUGGUUGAUGAGAUUAUGCAGAGAUGGAAAAUUUGACAAGGAUACUUAUAUUUUUAUGAAAUCACUUAAAGUGGAUUUCCAAUGGAUCUUCUGGCUUGUUUAGAGUGGUGAAUAAUAUAGAGAUUCACCGUGUAUUUGAAGGAAAUGGUGUACUCUCUGAUUGCCAUAUGUUCGACUUUAUAAUCAAGUCAUUCUAUAGGGCUGGUUUUUGUCACAAACGAGACAUUUUUAAACUUAACCUUAUACUGGAUACAUUGCCAAACAAAUAACCUAAUACUUGUGGAUUGCCGAAGGUAGCAGGUUCAUGAUUGCAGAUUUGCUGGCAAGAUUACAACUUAUGUCUAGAUCGCAGUCAGUCAACGUUGUGAAAGAUUGACCACUAAUAUGCAUAAAGGUUGCCACUUUUCCAGCUGCUCAUGUCUUUCUAUGGAAAGAAGCAUCGAGUCCCAAAACCAAAGUGAUGUGUCAAUAUCAAGCAAGCCAUGGGAAUUCAGGUUAACCUUGCUUUAUUUCUUUAAGCUCCUCGCGCCGCCUCCCAGUUGCCCGCAUUGAUAAUCAUGGGCCUAUGGUCAGGUUGGAUUUGGACUCCCUGUUGGUUGUCCAUACCAAGCAUGGACCGCCAAUAGACUUAUGCCUGCUAUAAUAUUUUGUCCCCUAUAACAAAUUAGCAGCUGCCGAAAUUUACAGCAUAAUUUCAAACUUCUUGAACAGGUCGAUUUGCUACGUCCCACAUGAUGCCUGCACUUCAUCUUUUGGAUCUUCGGCGACUGCCUUGUUGUUGUCUAUCCAAAUACUUAUACAGUAUGCAACUUCUUCAAAAAGUGCAGCCAAGGUAAUUUUUCUGUCCCUAACACCACAAUAUUGCUACUCUUGUUUGCUGGACACCCUACCAAACGGAAAGUCAGAUUAUAUCUGGUGAUAUCGGAAAUUGGAGCCAUCUUUGACAUAGUUGCCCACAGUUUCUCUUUACAAGGAAAAGGAGUUGUUGUCUAAGGAUCCAGUACUGUUUGUGUAUUAGUAUAAAAAAUACAACUUCAGCGCUCGAGAUAUAGGAGUCAAAUCCGUACUCAAGAAUCUGAUAUCUCGAUGCUAAACGCAAAAUGAAAUUCUAAAUUUGAAAAAUGCCAAUAACCAAAAUAUUUUUUGUUUCAUAAGUUACAAUCUCGGUAUCUCCAUUCUCAAAUAGUUGAUGUCCUAAAGUAUGCAGUGAAACCUCGGUAUGUUUACCAACUAUUAAAUGAAAAAAAAGGACUACAGUAUGUAUAAAUGAUUUUAAUAGUUUUAUCAUGAAAAAUAGUUUCAUGUAGUUAUAUUUUAAUUUUUUUAAUAAAUAUAUAGUUAAAUGAAGUGAUGAUGAACAGGCACCGAAGAUUGUGUCAACAUCCAAAACACAAACUAACAAAGAUCAAAUGUAGUAAAUUUUAGGGUCACCUGAUUUUGAGGUCCAGGUUUGUCUCCCACUCCAAACAUGAUAUGGGCUUGAUAACCUGACAGUACACGGCUACAGCAUUGUUGAACCACAAUUGCUACAGUGUUCGCUAUAGGACUUAUCCACUACAAUUUGUUUGUGAACGGUGUUUUUUCCAGCUAUCUGAACUGCUUUUGCUUUUCUGUCCAACAAUCGUAGCGGUGGACACCAAAGUUCCCAGUUCUUGACUGGGGUACUGGCACGAGAGUUUAUUGGAGUCUUAACCAAGGUCUUAUCCCUUCUGUCAAAAAAAAAAAAUCCUACCAUAAACUUGGAUAAGUUCAGGGUGCAUUCAGAUGGAGGGGUUGUGAUCUUCCACGUGCAUGCAAAAUAGAGUGACUCAUUAAUAUAUGAUUAAUUAAUCUCAGAAAAAACUUGAAAAAAAAUAUUUAUAUGAUUUUUAAGAAACUUUUGUAUAGAUAUUUCUUUUUUUUUAAAAAAAAACCAUGUAGCGGUUCGGAAGAUGUGCUAACCGGAGUAAAAGAA
Molecule: non-coding RNA, 3574 nt
Organism: Oryza sativa Japonica Group (Japanese rice)
Lineage: Eukaryota; Viridiplantae; Streptophyta; Magnoliopsida; Poales; Poaceae
Source: RefSeq, a predicted model, not a curated record